GAUGAACGCUAGCUACAGGCUUAACACAUGCAAGUCGAGGGGAAACGACAUCGAAAGCUUGCUUUUGGUGGGCGUCGACCGGCGCACGGGUGAGUAACGCGUAUCCAACCUGCCCACCACUUGGGGAUAACCUUGCGAAAGUAAGACUAAUACCCAAUGAUAUCCCACGAAGGCAUCCGAAUGGGAUUAAAGAUUUAUCGGUGAUGGAUGGGGAUGCGUCUGAUUAGCUUGUUGGCGGGGUAACGGCCCACCAAGGCAACGAUCAGUAGGGGUUCUGAGAGGAAGGUCCCCCCACAUUGGAACUGAGACACGGUCCAAACUCCUACGGGAGGCAGCAGUGAGGAAUAUUGGUCAAUGGGCGAGAGCCUGAACCAGCCAAGUAGCGUGCAGGACGACGGCCCUAUGGGUUGUAAACUGCUUUUAUAAGGGAUAAAGUGGGUCACGUGUGACUUUUUGCAUGUACCUUAUGAAUAAGGACCGGCUAAUUCCGUG
This 492-nucleotide ribosomal RNA is filed under the name uncultured bacterium. Its description in RNAcentral is "bacterial SSU rRNA". It matches the Rfam family "Bacterial small subunit ribosomal RNA", at positions 28 to 507 of the family's 1533-position model. The record is from RNAcentral.